UGGGGAAUAUUGGACAAUGGGGGAAACCCUGAUCCAGCGAUGCCGCGUGAGUGACGAAGGCCUUCGGGUUGUAAAACUCUUUCACCUGUGAAGAUUAUGACGGUAGCAGGAGAAGAAGCACCGGCAAACUCUGUGCCAGCAGCCGCGGUAAUACAGAGGGUGCUAGCGUUGUUCGGAAUGACUGGGCGUAAAGGGCGCGUAGGCGGCCAUAUUAGUCGGGCGUGAAAUCCCUGGGCUUAACCCGGGAACUGCGUUCGAUACUGUAUGGCUUGAGUUCAGGAGAGGAAAGCGGAAUUCCUAGUGUAGAGGUGAAAUUCGUAGAUAUUAGGAGGAACAUCAGAGGCGAAGGCGGCUUUCUGGACUGAUACUGACGCUGAGGCGCGAAAGCGUGGGGAGCAAA
RNAcentral lists this ribosomal RNA (400 nucleotides) under uncultured bacterium. RNAcentral's name for it is "bacterial SSU rRNA". It matches the Rfam family "Bacterial small subunit ribosomal RNA", at positions 355 to 772 of the family's 1533-position model. The record is from RNAcentral.